RNAcentral lists this ribosomal RNA (1150 nucleotides) under fermentation metagenome. Its description in RNAcentral is "bacterial LSU rRNA". It matches the Rfam family "Bacterial large subunit ribosomal RNA", at positions 1127 to 2302 of the family's 2925-position model. The record is from RNAcentral.
AGAGUGCGUAAUAGCUCACUAGUCGAGAGGUCCUGCGCCGAAAAUGUCCGGGGCUCAAACACACUGCCGAAGCCCAGGAAUUGAUGAAUGUCAAUUGGUAGAGGAGCAUUCUUAAGAGGAGGAAGCUGUACCGUAAGGAGCAGUGGACCCUUAAGAAGAGAGAAUGCCGGAAUGAGUAGCGAGAGGAAGGUGGGAAUCCUUCCGGCCGAAUAUCUAAGGUUUCCAGAGUAAAGCUGAUCUGCUCUGGGUAAGUCGGGGCCUAAGGCGAGGUCGAAAGACGUAGCCGAUGGACAACAGGUGGAGAUUCCUGUACUAUACCAUGACAGAACUGUGGGGACGCAGGCAGAGAGCGCAUCCCGGGAGUGGAAAACCCGGGGCAAGCGGAGAAGGAGUGCAUCAGGCAAAUCCGGUGCAUAAUCCAAAGACGUGACGCCAAGCGAACUAAAGUAGCGAAGUGCGUGAGCUGACUGCCGAGAAAAGCCGCUAUUGUUCAUGGUAUACCCGUACCGUAAACCGACACAGGUGGAUGAGGAGAGAAUCCUAAGGCCGACGGGAGAAGCAUUGUUAAGGAACUCGGCAAAAUGACCCCGUAACUUCGGGAGAAGGGGUGCCUGGGGAACCAGGCCGCAGAGAAUUGGCCCAAGCAACUGUUUAGCAAAAACACAGGUCUAUGCAAAACCGAAAGGUGAGGUAUAUGGGCUGACGCCUGCCCGGUGCUGGAAGGUUAAGGGGAGAGGUUAGCAUACGCGAAGCUUUGAACUUAAGCCCCAGUAAACGGCGGCCGUAACUAUAACGGUCCUAAGGUAGCGAAAUUCCUUGUCGGGUAAGUUCCGACCCGCACGAAAGGCGUAAUGAUUUGGGCACUGUCUCAACAAUGCACCCGGUGAAAUUGAAGUACCAGUGAAGAUGCUGGUUACCUGCGCCAGGACGGAAAGACCCCAUGGAGCUUUACUCCAGUUUGAUACUGGGAUUCGGUAUUGCAUGUACAGGAUAGGUGGGAGGCUAAGAACCCGUGACGCCAGUUGCGGGGGAGCCGCUGUUGGGAUACCACCCUUGCAGUGCUGGGUUUCUAACCAGCGGCCGUGAACCGGCCGGGGGACAAUGUCAGGCGGGGAGUUUGACUGGGGCGGUCGCCUCCGAAAGGGUAUCG